CCAAUAGCGUAUAUUAAAGUUGUUGCAGUUAAAAAGCUCGUAGUUGAAUUUCGGGAUCAAAUUGUCGGUCGUGCCUCGGUACGUACUGGCGUUAUUGGUUCCUCCCUUCUGAAGAACCGCGAUGUCAUUAAUUUGGUGUCGCGGGGAAUCAGGACUGUUACUUUGAAAAAAUUAGAGUGUUUAAAGCAGGCUCGCGCUUGAAUACAUUAGCAUGGAAUAAUGAAAUAGGACGUUUGAUUCUAUUUUGUUGGUUUCUAGGAUCGACGUAAUGAUUAAUAGGGAUAGUUGGGGGAAUUAGUAUUCAAUUGUCAGAGGUGAAAUUCUUGGAUUUAUUGAAGACUAACUACUGCGAAAGCAUUUGCCAAGGAUGUUUUCAUUAAUCAAGAACGAAAGUUAGGGGAUCGAAGACGAUCAGAUACCGUCGUAGUCUUAACCAUAAACUAUGCCGACUAGGGAUCGGAUGAUGUUAAUUUUUUAAUGACUCAUUCGGCGCCUUACG
RNAcentral lists this ribosomal RNA (499 nucleotides) under uncultured Glomeromycotina. Its description in RNAcentral is "partial small subunit ribosomal RNA". It matches the Rfam family "Eukaryotic small subunit ribosomal RNA", at positions 591 to 1092 of the family's 1831-position model. The record is from RNAcentral. Lineage: Eukaryota; Fungi; Glomeromycota.